RNAcentral lists this ribosomal RNA (363 nucleotides) under uncultured soil bacterium. Its description in RNAcentral is "bacterial SSU rRNA". It matches the Rfam family "Bacterial small subunit ribosomal RNA", at positions 26 to 386 of the family's 1533-position model. The record is from RNAcentral.
AGAUUGAACGCUGGCGGCAGGCCUAACACAUGCAAGUCGAGCGGUAGAGAGGUGCUUGCACCUCUUGAGAGCGGCGGACGGGUGAGUAAUGCCUAGGAAUCUGCCUAGUGGGUGGGGGAUAACGUUCGGAAACGGACGCUAAUACCGCAUACGUCCUACGGGAGAAAGCGGGGGACCUUCGGGCCUCGCGCCAUUAGAUGAGCCUAGGUCGGAUUAGCUAGUUGGUGAGGUAAUGGCUCACCAAGGCGACGAUCCGUAACUGGUCUGAGAGGAUGAUCAGUCACACUGGAACUGAGACACGGUCCAGACUCCGUACGGGAGGCCAGCAGGUGGGAAUAGUUGGACAAGUGGACGAAAGCCUAG